UCUGGGGUAUAUAUAUGUUAGAGGAAAUAUAUUUUAUUUUAAAUUUAUGGUUUAAGGUUUCUAGUAUAUGUGGUUUGAGGUUAAGUUUUGGGGUUUAGGAUUUGAAAUAUGAUAUAACGUUUGUAGAGGAAAUAUAUUUUAUUUUAAAUUUAUGGUUUAAAGUUUGUAGUAUAUAGGGUUUGAAGUAUUGUAUGUGGUUUGAGGAUAAGUUUUGAGGUUUAGGGUUUGAAGUAUGAUAUAAGGUUUGUAGAGGAAAUAUAUUCUAUUUAAAAUUUAUGGUUUAAGGUUUGUAGUGUAUGGGGUUUGAAAUGUUGUAUGUGGUUUGAGGUUAAGUUUUGGAGUUUAGGGUUUGGAGUAUGCUAUAAGGUUUGUAGCCAUUGCCUAUAAGAUAGACUUGGAAAGUUUUAAAUAUCGAUUCUAUGGUUUAUAAAAAUAAUUAUGAAUAAGUGUAAAGUUUAGUUUUGUGAUUUAAGGUUUGGAUGUUGGAAUAUUAGGUUUAGGAUUAAAGUUUAGUA
RNAcentral lists this long non-coding RNA (515 nucleotides) under Brassica napus (rape). RNAcentral describes it as "long non-coding RNA (BNAP_LNC024706)". The record is from RNAcentral. Lineage: Eukaryota; Viridiplantae; Streptophyta; Magnoliopsida; Brassicales; Brassicaceae.